UGAGGAAUAUUGCGCAAUGGGGGCAACCCUGACGCAGCAACGCCGCGUGCGGGACGACGGCCUUCGGGUUGUAAACCGCUUUCAGCAGGGAAGAUAGUGACGGUACCUGCACAAGAAGCCCCGGCUAACUACGUGCCAGCAGCCGCGGUAAUACGUAGGGGGCGAGCGUUAUCCGGAUUCAUUGGGCGUAAAGCGCGCGCAGGCGGCUCUUCAAGCGGAACCUCUAACCCCGGGGCUCAACCUCGGGCCGGGUUCCGAACUGGAGGGCUCGAGUGCGGUAGAGGCAGGCGGAAUUCCCGGUGUAGCGGUGGAAUGCGCAGAUAUCGGGAAGAACACCGAUGGCGAAGGCAGCCUGCUGGGCCGGCACUGACGCUGAGGCGCGAAAGCUAGGGGAGCGAACAGG
Molecule: ribosomal RNA, 403 nt
Filed under: Verrucomicrobiota bacterium
Lineage: Bacteria; Pseudomonadati; Verrucomicrobiota
Description: Verrucomicrobia bacterium partial 16S ribosomal RNA
Rfam family: Bacterial small subunit ribosomal RNA
Source: RNAcentral